RNAcentral lists this ribosomal RNA (468 nucleotides) under uncultured bacterium. RNAcentral's name for it is "partial 16S ribosomal RNA". It matches the Rfam family "Bacterial small subunit ribosomal RNA", at positions 28 to 507 of the family's 1533-position model. The record is from RNAcentral.
GACGAACGCUGGCGGCGUGCUUAACACAUGCAAGUCGAACGGAAAGGCCCUGCUUUUGUGGGGUGCUCGAGUGGCGAACGGGUGAGCAACACGUGAGUAACCUGCCCUUGUCUUUGGGAUAACUUCAGGAAACUGGGGCUAAUACCGGAUAGGAGCUCCUGCUGCAUGGUGGGGGUUGGAAAGUUUCGGCGGUUGGGGAUGGACUCGCGGCUUAUCAGCUUGUUGGUGGGGUAGUGGCUUACCAAGGCUUUGACGGGUAGCCGGCCUGAGAGGGUGACCGGCCACAUUGGGACUGAGAUACCGCCCCGACCCCUACGGGGGGCAGCCGUGGGGAAUAUUGCACAAUGGGCGGAAGCCUGAUGCAGCAACGCCGCGUGCGGGAUGACGGCCUUCGGGCUGUAAACCGCUUUCGCCUGUGACGAAGCGUGAGUGACGGUAAUGGGUAAAGAAGCACCGGCUAACUACGUG